CGCCCGUUAGGACUCGCCCCGCCCAUCCGGCCUGUCCCGUUACUUCAGACGCCGCUGGCCCUGCCCCUCUCUCAGGCCCCGCGAGGCCCCGCCCCUCCCGGAUUUGUAGGCACAAAAGGACGAUCUAUCGAUUCAGUUUCCUGCUGGACUGCCAGCCAGAAAGCCAUAGAUGAGAAGGCACGCGGACUUAACUCGGCAAUAUUGUCUUCUGUUGUGGCCUGUUACCCAUCGCACCUGCAAGCUCCUUGAAAUCAGAAGCACGCUCUCAGAGUCGAUGGACUCGCCCCCGAGUGACCAACGUGGCCUUGCCAUUUGAGAGUGUAUGUGGCUUGAUGACCCUUCAGAACAUGUCCUUUCUUCGGGCUAACUUCUCCUAGGUGUGGAUGAGACACGUUGCAAAAAAAAAAAGCAACAUCUACUAAGGCAGCUCAAAGACUCUGUCGUGAACAGAUGAACUUGUGUGCUUCUUGUUUAAAUACCCUUGGUAGAAUUAAAUUUUCGUGUUGACCCCAACGAUGGCAUUAAUUACUGGUUUUCAAUUAUACUUCUCACACACACACACAAGAAAUAUUACUCAGAACUCAUUAUCAGUAAUAAAGAUACAAAACAUCCCUACAGCUGUUCCA
Long non-coding RNA from Bubalus bubalis (water buffalo), 626 nucleotides. RefSeq lists it as uncharacterized. The transcript has 2 exons. The record is from RefSeq and is a predicted model, not a curated record. Lineage: Eukaryota; Metazoa; Chordata; Mammalia; Artiodactyla; Bovidae.